This 493-nucleotide ribosomal RNA is filed under the name uncultured bacterium. RNAcentral describes it as "partial 16S ribosomal RNA". It matches the Rfam family "Bacterial small subunit ribosomal RNA", at positions 29 to 523 of the family's 1533-position model. The record is from RNAcentral.
AUUGAACGCUGGCGGCAUGCUUUACACAUGCAAGUCGAACGGUAACAGGUUAAGCUGACGAGUGGCGAACGGGUGAGUAAUGCAUCGGAACGUGCCCGAUCGUGGGGGAUAACGCAGCGAAAGCUGCGCUAAUACCGCAUACGAUCUGAGGAUGAAAGCGGGGGACCGUAAGGCCUCGCGCGAUCGGAGCGGCCGAUGUCAGAUUAGGUAGUUGGUGGGGUAAAGGCCCACCAAGCCGACGAUCUGUAGCUGGUCUGAGAGGACGACCAGCCACACUGGGACGGAGACACGGCCCAGACUCCUACGGGAGGCAGAAGUGGGGAAUUUUGGACAAUGGGCGAAAGCCUGAGCCAGCAAUGCCGCGUGCAGGAAGAAGGCCUUCGGGUUGUAAACUGCUUUUGUACGGAGCGAAAAGGUCCUUUCUAAUACAAGGGGCUCAUGACGGUACCGUAAGAAUAAGCACCGGCUAACUACGUGCCAGCAGCCGCCGUAA